CUGGCUCAGGAUGAACGCUAGCGGCAGGCCUAACACAUGCAAGUCGAGGGCAGCAGGGCGUAGCAAUACGCUGCUGGCGACCGGCGCACGGGUGCGUAACGCGUAUGCAACCUACCCGUUAACAGGGGGAUAACGGAGAGAAAUUUCCACUAAUACCCCGUAUAGAUGCGGUGCCGCAUGACACUGCGUCGAAAGCCUUCGGGUGGUUAGGGAUGGGCAUGCGUGGCAUUAGGUAGUUGGCGGGGCAACGGCCCACCAAGCCCACGAUGCCUAGGGGAGCUGAGAGGCUAAUCCCCCCACACUGGUACUGAGACACGGACCAGACUCCUACGGGAGGCAGCAGUGAGGAAUAUUGGUCAAUGGAGGGAACUCUGAACCAGCCAUGCCGCGUGAGGGAUGAAAGGCCCUAUGGGUUGUAAACCUCUUUUGCCUGGGGGGCAAUAAGGCUCAUGCGUGGGCUGAUGAGAGUACCAGGCGAAUAAGCAUCGGCUAACUCCGUGCCAGCCGCGGC
This 511-nucleotide ribosomal RNA is filed under the name uncultured bacterium. RNAcentral describes it as "bacterial SSU rRNA". It matches the Rfam family "Bacterial small subunit ribosomal RNA", at positions 19 to 518 of the family's 1533-position model. The record is from RNAcentral.